AUGUGGAGGAAAGAGUUGGUACUGGUGCACAAAAAAAAACAGAAGCCCUGCAGUCCAUUUGAUGUAGAAAAGCCAUCUAGUAUGCAAAAGCAAACUCAGGUUAAACUAAGAAUCCAGAUGGAUGGUGAUAAAUAUGGUGGAACCUCAAUUCAACUCGAGUUGAAAGAGAAGAGAAAAGGAUAUUGUGAAUGUUGCUGGCAGAAAUAUGAAGAUAUAGAAACUCACCUUCUAAGUGAGCAACACAGAAACCUUGAACAGAGUAACCAGUAUCAAGUUGUUGAUGAUAUUGUAUCUAAGUUAGUUUUUGACUUUGUGGAAUAUGAAAAGGACACACCUAAAAAGAAAAGAAUAAAAUACAAUGUUGAAUCUCUUUCUCCUGUUUCUGCAAAUGCCCUGACAAAGACAGAACAGAAAGAAAAAGUGGAAUUGCAAUAUAUUUCUCAGAAAGAUUGCUGGAAAGAUGAUAUACAGGCAAUGGAGCAGAAUUUCUUGUAUAAAGACACCCAGGAAAUUGAAAAAAAGCUUGUGUUUAUUUCAGAGCCCAAACCCACCCUUCAAAUAAAUUGAGAGGACUUAAUAAGAAAACAAUUAAUAAAUGUUCCAUGUUAAAUACAGCUGAAAAUGACAUAAGACAGAAUUUUAUACACCUACCUCUACAUAAAAUCAAACAGGAAUGCAUUCUUGACAUUUCUGAACACACAUUAAAUGAAAAUGACUUAGAAUUACUAAAGGUAGAUCACCAUUGUUGUAACAUACAGGCAUCUGUAAAUGUUUCUGAUUUCAAUACAGAUAAUAGUGCAUCUCAACCAAAACAAAAGUCAGAUACUGUGCGUUUUCCAGUAAAGGAUCUCAAGGAAAAGGACCUUCAUUCAAUAUUUGCUCAUGAUUCUGGUCUGAUAACAAUAAACAGUUCACAAGAGCACCUAACUGUUCAGGCAAAGGCUCCAUCACACACUUCUGAGGAGCCCAAUGAAUGUGUUAUUGAGAAUAUGAAUAGUUUACCUUCUGGUAAAAUACAUUGAAAAGUGAAAAUAUUACUUUGAUGAAAUAGAAAAUAAUAUCUGAAACCAAAUUUGAAUUUGAUAAAACAACUGAAUUUAUUACACAAGAAGAAAACAGAAUUUGUAGUUCACUGGUACAGUCUUUACUAGGCUUGUUUCAGACUAAUGAAGAGAAAUCAGAAUUGAGUUUCACAAGCUACACUGAAAACAGUGGUAUAUGCAAUGUUUUAGAUAUUUGGGAAAAGGAAAAUUCAAAUAAUCUGUUGACAAUGUUUUUCUCUUCCCCUUCAACUUCUACAUUUACUGGCUUUUAGACUUUAAAAAAUGCAUACUUUUCAGAAGUCAUAAGGAUCAUAUUCUUGAAAUUUUUAUAAGUAUGUAUGGAAAUUCUUGGGAAUUUUUUUACCAACUUUGUUUACAGAACCAAAUGUAAAUAUUAAAAAUAAAUGUAAUAUUUACAGUUUUCU
Molecule: RNA transcript, 1468 nt
Organism: Sapajus apella (tufted capuchin)
Lineage: Eukaryota; Metazoa; Chordata; Mammalia; Primates; Cebidae
Gene name: protein DBF4 homolog A-like
Exons: 3
Source: RefSeq, a predicted model, not a curated record